GAAAGUCACUACACUGCGUAAGAGAAGCCAAAUAAAAAAGUUCAUGCUGUGUACAGAGGGUGUUGAGAAUGCCUCCUACGUGACGGAAAGCAGAUCCGUGGUUCCCUGCAGACCGGCAGGAGCAGAUUCCAAAGGCACAGGAAGAAGCUUGCAGGCAGCUGCUCCCAACCCCAGCAACUUUGCUAUCUUAGAACGGAUCACCAGUGAAAGAGGGGAAGUUGCUACUGUGAUGAAUUCUGCCAUGUGGUACCAGACUGCUGCCCAGACCACAGUGUCCUCUGCAACCCUGCUUCUCAGAUGACCAAGAUGGUGCUGCCGAUGGUGUUGAGGACGGAGAACCCACCAAGCCCCGUUAGGAGCCACCUAGACUGGAUGCAGAGCACAGUUCAGCGACUUCUCCAAACCAGCCUCCCAGGAAUGCUGUUCUCUAUGGCCGUGAGGGGAAUCAAGAAGAGAGCCUGACUCCUCUCCUGAGGUCCCUUCCACACC
This 489-nucleotide long non-coding RNA is filed under the name Pongo abelii (Sumatran orangutan). RNAcentral describes it as "lincRNA". The record is from RNAcentral. Lineage: Eukaryota; Metazoa; Chordata; Mammalia; Primates; Hominidae.